This 641-nucleotide ribosomal RNA is filed under the name uncultured bacterium. RNAcentral describes it as "bacterial SSU rRNA". It matches the Rfam family "Bacterial small subunit ribosomal RNA", at positions 159 to 787 of the family's 1533-position model. The record is from RNAcentral.
GGUGCUAAUACCGCAUAACCAUCAAAACCGCCUGGUUUUGAUGUUAAAGAUGGUUCUGCUAUCCCUUUAAGAUGGACCCGCGGCGUAUUAGCUAGUUGGUGAGGUAAUGGCUUACCAAGGCAAUGAUACGUAGCCGAACUGAGAGGUUGAUCGGCCGCAUUGGGACUGAGACACGGCCCAAACUCCUACGGGAGGCAGCAGUAGGGAAUCUUCCACAAUGGACGAAAGUCUGAUGGAGCAACGCCGCGUGAGUGAAGAAGGUUUUCGGAUCGUAAAACUCUGUUGUCAGAGAAGAACGUGUGUGAGAGUAACUGUUCACGCAGUGACGGUAUCUGACCAGAAAGUCACGGCUAACUACGUGCCAGCAGCCGCGGUAAUACGUAGGUGGCAAGCGUUGUCCGGAUUUAUUGGGCGUAAAGGGAACGCAGGCGGUCUUUUAAGUCUGAUGUGAAAGCCUUCGGCUUAACCGAAGUCGGGCAUUGGAAACUGGGAGACUUGAGUGCAGAAGAGGAGAGUGGAACUCCAUGUGUAGCGGUGAAAUGCGUAGAUAUAUGGAAGAACACCAGUGGCGAAAGCGGCUCUCUGGUCUGUAACUGACGCUGAGGUUCGAAAGCGUGGGUAGCAAACAGGAUUAGAUACCC